RNAcentral lists this long non-coding RNA (1453 nucleotides) under Bemisia tabaci. RNAcentral's name for it is "lncRNA ENSSSA2NGG000649". The record is from RNAcentral. Lineage: Eukaryota; Metazoa; Arthropoda; Insecta; Hemiptera; Aleyrodidae.
UCAAUAUCUUAUGACUGCCCAACUUGUUAUGACUAAUCUGUUAUCUGUCCCAUCUGUGAGCAUUUUAUUUGACGGAUCCAGUUUGCAAUGUUGAAGGAUGCCAUUUGCUAAACGAACAUUCAUCUACUUUUGGUAAGUCAAAUUGAUUUUGAACAUCGCAAACGAGAUACAUGGUCUUGGUAGUUUUACAGUCAAUACUUAUCAUGCACUCUUCCUACAAUGGAGCAGAUGCUGCUGGUAUUUUUCAAGGGCAUUCUCCUACUUGCCUUCAAAUUACAGCCAAAACUGGAUGCAUUUAAAUCAAAAUAGGAUUUAUUUAGGAUUUUAUUUCUAAUUCCAGGCGCAACCGAUCUGCAGGAAGCAUAUAAAAACAUCAAUAUCUUAUGACUGCCCAACUUGUUAUGACUAAUCUGUUAUCUGUCCCAUCUGUGAGCAUUUUAUUUGACGGAUCCAGUUUGCAAUGUUGAAGGAUGCCAUUUGCUAAACGAACAUUCAUCUAUUUUUGAUUACUGAGGUUUUGCAUUCAAAAGCUCCCUUCUUCCAUUUGACUGAGCAUUGCUGCAAUGCCAUAAAGACUUACGCUGUGAGUUAAUUUUACAGGUUUCGCCAGAGGGAAACAUAUGAAAACAGGUUUACUGAUCGUCAAGUUCAUUCUGGCUUCAAGAAAUGUGCCUUGAUCUUGUUCAUAUUUUCGUUUACCCUUCAUCAAUUCUUCAAUUCUCUAUUUUAUUCCUCAGUGCAAGAUGUGCCUGUGAUUACUUUCAUCCUGGAAUAGCUUUAAUAAAAAAAAUGACUUGUGGCUCGCUUUAUUGUUUUUAACAUGGAUUUCCAAUUCCAAUCUCCUCUGUCAAUUUUUGAGAAUAGAAUAGAAUAGAAAUCACUUUAUUCGUUAAAAAUGCGCAAAAAGGCAAACAAACGGGUCAACUUAGAUUAAACUUGAAACUAACAUUCAAAAUUAGAUAAAUGCAUAAUAGUUGAAUUGGACAAUUCUCAAGUGAAUUAGAUUGAAUAGGUAAACUUCUACACCAGUUCUCUAACUGCGUAGAAUUCUUUCUCCACUAGGAAUUCAGUUAUCAAUUUUGAGAAUUUUUGCAAUUCUGUGUUAACAUCAAUUUUUAAAUCCUUUAAAGGAAGUGCAUUGUAACACGGUAAACAUUGCUUACAUACUCGUUUUCUCUUGGUGUUAUGAACUUAUUUAAUUUCUUGUGUUAAAAUUGUGCUGAUCUGAUAAUUUUGUAUCUGAUAUUCCUUUAAUAUAAAAAAUGUAAUAUAAAUUGUUUUAUUCUCCAGUUUAUUUUAGUUUUUAGUACCACUCUCUGAAUUAUACUUGCAUUUUCUAUGCCAGAAACGCUCAUUUCAGACGCCAACAUUAGAUGGAAAAAAACAUGCUCAAUUGCUACUAGCAAAUACUAAUUCCUCUAAUGCUACAAUUAAACCAAAUGAACAUGGCCAA